UUAUAAAUAUUUUGGCGUUUUAGCUUAUUUUAACACUUGUUUUUCUCAUUUUAAAUGAAUCAUGAAUAUUGAAUGCAAUCAAACCCCUGGUUAAGUGCCACUGGUAAAAAUAAAAAUGGUGCUAUACCAAAAAAAUACCAUGGUAAUAUACUAUAUAUCCACCAAAAUAUCAAUGCAAACUCGAAUUAUUGUUAGUAAAGCAUUGCAUUAUGUCUUUUCAAUGUGCAUCUGUGUUUUUUUCUUCUCCUGUUUAAUAGUGAAAAGGUGAACUUCAUGCAUCUGAUCAGUAAAGUAAAGUACUCAUUCAUGUCUGGAGCACAAAUGCUGAACUUUAAGACUCAGUGCUGGAGGUUUGAUCAGAAACAGUAACAGUAAAAGUGAUGCUUGACUUCUUAAACCCAACUAAUUAACCUAAAAAUACCACAUUUCCAAAUGAAACGUUGUGUUGUCACUGAACCCAGAGAGAGAGAGAGAGAUGGCCGUCUGUCUGGACGUUACAUAAGCUGUCAUUAUGUGCCAUUCUCGCCUCAGGGCCUCGGUUACAUCACUCUGAACUUUGCCGUGCUGCGCUCCUGUUAUUUCUGGAAGCCGUGUGAAAUCUGUUAAUCCCUGUUACCUGAACGAUGAACGGCAGCUUUGCUUUACAGAUCUGAGAGGGGGGGAAAAACCAGGGAAGUGGGGAAAGUAAACAAGAACAAAGACAUCCGUCUUCCCGUCAGACGCUCCGGGGAAAAGAGAGGAAAAAUGAGCACAGUUCAACAGAUGCACCACAGCUGGAAUCUCAAGUGACUCAUUGGCUGCGAAGCUCCAAAUUUCCAUGGCAACUGGAGAAUGUUUGGCAGCGGUGAGAUGCGAUGGAUGCGAGCUCGAAAACACACGAGAGAGAGAGAGAGAGAGAGAAGUGGGAGAAUCUGCGUGCUCGCGCUAGUUUGGCACACGUCCAGGGCAGCCAUAAUGCAGAGACAGAAAUGAGGCUCUUGGCGGGACACCAGGUCUCGGAGAACAAAGAUGUGUGUGCUUCUAAAGCCGGCAACUGAGGCUCGCUUGGCAGCGCACGCGUUUUCCCAUCAACCUUUGCCUUGGAAGCGCGCCACUCCAGUUUCAGGCCUGCAAAGAGGAUUAUGGUGAGAGCGAGAGAGAGCGAGACAGACUGACAUAAAAACACAGAGAGAUUCAAUCUGCAGCAACACAUCGUGCAAAACUCCUCCCCCGAAAUGCGCCUCUUUAAUAUGCAUUUAGAAUCUGUGGACUAAAAAGUAUUUUCAUAAUGUAAUAUUUUUUUAACCUAAAACCACAUUGUAUCUGAUCAGCAAGUGCAUUUUUUUUAAGUGACCAUGUUAUUACUGCAUUAAAUGUUUUUUUUUUAUUAUUCAUUUUUAAAUUGUUACAAAAUAUGUUUUUUUCAAUAUUGCUGAAAAAUCUCAUAAGAAUGUAUCAUUAAAUAUAUACAAAUUUUAAUUUUUAAUUUAUAACAUAUAAUCUGAGAAUUUUUAAUCCCAUCAAAAUCAAUGGAAUUCAGUUAAAUUCCUUUGAAUUUACAACUCAUGAUUGCUCAAAAACAGUCAAAAUUUAUGCAUCCUUAAUAUUUAUUUUGAACAAAAAAACAUUAAUAUUAUACUAAAAAUACAUUUACUUGCGUCCACUUUAAUUUUUAGAUGAAAAAGGGAUUAAUUUUUCAUGCUGCUUUUUCAAUCUAUGUAAACAUUUAUAUGUUAAAUCAACAAAAUUCAGUCCCAGGAUUGUGUGAGGAAAAGGCUAAAUAUAAACUGCUCAAAAAAAUAAAGGGAACACUUGUGGGUUACAUUGUGUUGUUAAGUGUUCCCUUUAUUUUUAUUUUUUUGAGCAGUUUAUUUUACAUUUGCUUUAGACACUAAAAUAUCUUCACAGAUAGUUUUACAAAAAGUGUUUUUGACACUAAUCAUACUCCAUACAUCCCCGGGUCAAAAAUGACCCGAACACAAAACAUAACUUAUUUUAUGGUUAGCAUCUCUUAAAAAAAAAUAAAAAAACUGAAAAUAAUAAUAAGUAAUGUGUGUUUUGAGGGUCUUAAAGUAUUAGCAAAGUAUUGCUCUCUUACUACAAAGUAUUAACUUUUUUUUUUAGAAAUCUACAUUUUAUGCUUAAAUUUGAUCUCAUCUUGGUCAAACUGAUUCGAAUGUGUCAUGAGGGUUAAGUCAAUGCAUUGGCAGCACCCCAGCAAGAGUUUUCAGUCCAGCACACUGAUAUUUAUGGGUUAUCACUAAACAUUAUAAUAUACGAUGACUAUCAGCAGGACAAAUGUGUGCGGCCGACAUUCUUCGCAUUGAUCUCCGUGAGACAUGCAGUUGUUUAUCUUUUCUUUGUUUCACCGCUGAUUACUCUAAGGACAUAUUUAUUUAUGUCCCGCUCAUCAAAAUGAUGCUGAGAUUUACUGCGUGCACACUCAGCAGCAGGUGCGCGGAAAUCUAUAUGCAUCAAAUCAAAGGCUUGUGCAUUUGGACAAGAACCAAACGUGGCGACCCUGUGUCUUUUCCUGUCAAACCGCCUGCGUAUUUCACUACAAGGGAGGUCUGCUCAUAUGAAAAGCGACCAAAACAUUGUAAACAGGAAGUGGUUAGUCACACUGGCUAUCCAGAUAAGACCGUGGUCUCCAUAGCUACGCCUUCCUGUGCAACGAGCCAACCAAUCAGAGACGAGACUCUCACUGGGCAAGAGGUAAUGUUCACAACAUUACCAGAGCAUGCAAUUACAUCACUGAUUAGUUUCAUUUCCGUGCACGCGCAUUCAGUGCACCAACUGGUUUUGAGAUUAGUCAUUUUGGUUAAUAGAAGUGCUCGGCUGGAUUAAGUUAUUCACAUUAAAUGCUAUUUGUAUAAUUCACAAUUCAGCAUGCAGCAAGCACCUUACCUGUCUCCGGGAAGAUUAAAUUGGGAAUGCUUAAUUGGAAAAUGUGCUAUUUAAAUAUUAAACGGCUUUAACACAAAGCUUUUUGUUUAAUUAUUAAAGGGAUGCAAUGUGUGUGAGAUUCGUCACAUUGCAUCAUGUCACAAUAAUGCAACUCUAACAUGGAACUAAAGUUAAUUAACUUUUUAUAAAGGUUAUAGAAAUGUUUGGACGAAACGUUCUUUUAUGGAAUGUUCUUUUAACUUAAUUAGUAUUUGAUCUGUCAAUUUUGGGAGAAAAUGUUCUUAGAAUACAAUUGUGUCAUUGUGUUGUUUGUACUUGUUCAACAUUCUAAGAAACGUGUUUUGCAAACGUUAUAAUCACGAUGAUCAUUUUCACAUUUCUGGAAUAUAAAAAAUAAAUAAUAAAAUAAUGUUAUAUUUUGUGUCAAAAAA
Long non-coding RNA from Carassius gibelio (silver crucian carp), 3317 nucleotides. RefSeq lists it as uncharacterized. The transcript is spliced from 2 exons. Lineage: Eukaryota; Metazoa; Chordata; Actinopteri; Cypriniformes; Cyprinidae. The record is from RefSeq and is a predicted model, not a curated record.